GGAGAUUUAGCUCAGUGGUAGAGCGCUUGCCUAGCAAGCACAAGGCCCUUGGUUCGGUUCCCAGCUCCG
This is a non-coding RNA of Rattus norvegicus (Norway rat), 69 nucleotides long. The record is from Rfam. NCBI's taxonomy places the organism in Eukaryota, Metazoa, Chordata, Mammalia, Rodentia, Muridae.